Molecule: ribosomal RNA, 253 nt
Filed under: uncultured bacterium
Lineage: Bacteria
Description: partial 16S ribosomal RNA
Rfam family: Bacterial small subunit ribosomal RNA
Source: RNAcentral
UACGUAGGGGGCAAGCGUUGUCCGGAAUCAUUGGGCGUAAAGAGCGUGUAGGCGGCCAGGUAGGUCUGCUGUGAAAACUCGAGGCUUAACCUCGAGACGUCGGUGGAAACCGUUUGGCUAGAGUCCGGAAGAGGAGAGUGGAAUUCCCGGUGUAGCGGUGAAAUGCGCAGAUAUCGGGAAGAACACCCGUGGCGAAGGCGGCUCUCUGGGACGGUACUGACGCUGAGACGCGAAAGCGUGGGGAGCGAACAGG